GGUCCUGUAGUGUAGCGGUUAUCACAUGGGAUUCUGAUAAGCAGAAACUCCCCUGCUUUCCCAUGACCCAGGUUCGAUUCCUGGCAGGACCU
Dendrothele bispora CBS 962.96 is the source of this 92-nucleotide non-coding RNA. NCBI's taxonomy places the organism in Eukaryota, Fungi, Basidiomycota, Agaricomycetes, Agaricales. The record is from the annotation of a GenBank genome assembly.